RNAcentral lists this ribosomal RNA (253 nucleotides) under uncultured bacterium. RNAcentral describes it as "partial 16S ribosomal RNA". It matches the Rfam family "Bacterial small subunit ribosomal RNA", at positions 524 to 776 of the family's 1533-position model. The record is from RNAcentral.
UACGUAGGGGGCAAGCGUUGUCCGGAAUCAUUGGGCGUAAAGAGCGUGUAGGCGGCCCGGUAAGUCCGCUGUGAAAGUCCAGGGCUCAACCCUGGGAUGCCGGUGGAUACUGUCGGGCUCGAGUCCGGAAGAGGAGUGUGGAAUUCCUGGUGUAGCGGUGAAAUGCGCAGAUAUCAGGAAGAACACCCGUGGCGAAGGCGGUUCUCUAGUACGGUACUGACGCUGAGACGCGAAAGCGUGGGGAGCGAACAGG